AUGAACGCUGGCGGCGUGCCUAAUACAUGCAAGUCGAACGGGGAGUAGCAAUACUCUUAGUGGCGAACGGGUGAGUAACGCGUUGGUACCUGCCCCGAAGCGGGGGAUAACGGACCGAAAGGUCCGCUAAUACCCCAUGUGCUCGGUAACGAGUAAAGGUGAAAACCACUUUGGGAGGGGCAUGCGUCCCAUCAGCUAGUUGGUAAGGUAACGGCUUACCAAGGCGAUGACGGGUAGGGGACCUGAGAGGGUGGCCCCCCACAAUGGAACUGAAACACGGUCCAUACACCUACGGGUGGCAGCAGUAGGGAAUAUUGGUAAUGGGCGCAAGCCUGAACCAGCAACGCCGCGUGUGCGAUGACGGCCUUCGGGUUGUAAAGCACUUUUGACUGGGACGAGGAAGGACGGUACCGGUCGAAUCAGCCUCGGCUAACUACGUG
This 440-nucleotide ribosomal RNA is filed under the name uncultured bacterium. RNAcentral describes it as "partial 16S ribosomal RNA". It matches the Rfam family "Bacterial small subunit ribosomal RNA", at positions 29 to 507 of the family's 1533-position model. The record is from RNAcentral.